GAUGAACGCUGGCGGCGUGCCUAAUACAUGCAAGUCGAGCGAACAGACGAGGAGCUUGCUCCUCUGACGUUAGCGGCGGACGGGUGAGUAACACGUGGAUAACCUACCUAUAAGACUGGGAUAACUUCGGGAAACCGGAGCUAAUACCGGAUAAUAUAUUGAACUGCAUGGUUCAAUAGUGAAAGACGGUUUUGCUGUCACUUAUAGAUGGAUCCGCGCCGCAUUAGCUAGUUGGUAAGGUAACGGCUUACCAAGGCAACGAUGCGUAGCCGACCUGAGAGGGUGAUCGGCCACACUGGAACUGAGACACGGUCCAGACUCCUACGAGAGACAGCAGUAGGGAAUCUUCCGCAAUGGGCGAAAGCUGGACGGAGCAACGCCGCGUGAGUGAUGAAGGUCUUCGGAUCGUAAAACUCUGUUAUUAGUGAAGAACAAAUGUGUAAGUAACUAUGCACGUCUUGACGGUACCUAAUCAGAAAGCCACGGCUAACUACGUGC
Molecule: ribosomal RNA, 498 nt
Filed under: uncultured bacterium
Lineage: Bacteria
Description: partial 16S ribosomal RNA
Rfam family: Bacterial small subunit ribosomal RNA
Source: RNAcentral